UGCUAGAGAAAUGCAAGUCAGAACCAGUGUGGCAUCACCGCACUCCUGCCAGAAUGGCCAUCAUUAAAAAGGCCACAAAUGGAGUUCCCGUCGUGGCGCAGUGGUUAACGAAUCUGACUAGGAACCAUGAGGUUGCGGGUUCGAUCCCUGGCCUCGCUCAGUGGGUUAAGGAUCCGGCGUCGCUGUGAGCUGUGAUGUAGGUGGCAGACGCGGCUCAGAUCCCGCGUUGCUGUGGCUCUGGCGUAGGCCGGUGGCUACAGCUCCGAUUCGACCCCUAGCCUGGGAACCUCCACAUGCUGUGGGAGCGGCCCAAGAAAUGGCAAAAAGAAAAAAAAAUUAAAAGGCCACAAAUAAUCCACGUGGAGUGGGUGUGGAAAAAGCAGGUCCCCCUACAAUGUUGGUGGGAAUAAGAAUCUCCCGAACAGCACAGAGAACUAUACUCUGUAUCUUGUAAUAACCUACAAUGGAAAAUAAUCUGAUAAACAUGUGUAACUGAAUCACUUUGCUAUACACCUGAAAUGAACACAACAUCAUCGCAAAUCAACUGCAAUUAAAAAAAGGAAGAAGAGGCCAGAGAGCCGGCUCACUCUCUCUGCCAUGUGAGGGCAAAAUGAGAAGGCAGCCGUCUGCAAGCCAGAAGGGUCUCACCAGAACCCCACAUGCUGGCACCUGAUCUUGACAUUCCAGCCUCCAUAACCAUGAGAAAUAAGUUUCUGCUGUUUACAAGCUAGUUGGGGUCGGGGGUGUUAUAGCCCAGCUGACAGAACAGGGUGGAAGAAGCUGCAAGCAUUUUCCAUAAGGUAUCCUUCUCUGCAUGUGCAGGAAACAGGCUUACUCACGGUGUGCACAAGCAUGCACGCUCUCUGCUCACCGUGUGUGUGUGCACUCACACACACACACACCUGUAUGUUCUCAGCUGUUCACAGCUCAUUGUUGCCUUUGCUCUUUCUCUCUCUCUCUCACACACACAGAGACACGUCUGUAUGUUCUCAGCUGUUCACAGUCCAGCUCAAUGGGCCUUUUCCGUCACACCUUCCCUGCCUGCCUGCCUGCCUCAUUGCCAGUUCCCAUCCUGCACAGAUCUGCUUGCACCACAGCCCCUCCUGUCUGACCCCGAGCAACACUUUACCUCAUAUCCUGCCCCACAGCAGCCCUCGGGGUGCUUUCUGGUGCAUGUGCAGAGCUCAGAAACAUUUGCUAAAGAAAUCUGAGCCAGAGAGGAGCUGAGAUCACUCAUCCGAGCUCAUUGACCUCCCGAGGUCACCCCAGCCUCAUUGCAGUGGGUAAGCUGCAGGGCCCUUCUCUGACUCGGCGAGGUAAGGGGACAGCAGUAGGGACGUGAGCAGAGGCAUUCGGUUGAACAUAAAAUCAAGUUUCCCAAAAUCGUGCUGUUGGCUCCUGGCACUUUCCCUCCUGGCCGAUGGUCAUGGGUUCUACUGAGGAGGGAAAUGACACGAGGAGAAGGACCUCGGACCUUCCGUUGUGGGGUU
This 1490-nucleotide long non-coding RNA is filed under the name Sus scrofa (pig). Its description in RNAcentral is "lncRNA (ENSSSCG00070013407.1)". The record is from RNAcentral. Lineage: Eukaryota; Metazoa; Chordata; Mammalia; Artiodactyla; Suidae.